AUGGUUUUGAGCAGAGGAAGGAAGUAGCUUGAUUAAACUUGUAAAGGAUCAUUCUCGCUGCUCUGUGAAUACCAGACUUUAAAGCCAAGAGCAGAAGCAGGAUGGCAUUUUGGCCUGCUAUUUGGGAAUUUGGUCCAGUUGAGAAAUGAUGGUGUCUUGGACUACAGUUGCUGUGGAGAUGAAACACACUGUACACAUCCUGGAUCCCUAAGAAUUGGAAGAUUUAUCCUUAACUGAGAGCUGUUACUUCUUCUCAAUUCAAUUUCUGAGUGCAGAGGCAUAAUGACAAGGAAGAACACACAGAGCUGGAUCCACAGCACAGUGGUUGUCACCUGCAGACCAUGACUGAUUCAUAGAUUGUAAAAAUCUAUGAAAUGGGUCUUAA
RNAcentral lists this long non-coding RNA (385 nucleotides) under Equus caballus (horse). Its description in RNAcentral is "lncRNA (ENSECAG00000051986.1)". Lineage: Eukaryota; Metazoa; Chordata; Mammalia; Perissodactyla; Equidae. The record is from RNAcentral.